AUUGCCCAAUACUUACUCGCCAGAGAAAGGUGGGAUCGAUGCCAGGUCCAGAGCGAAGCCAUUCUUGAUUCGGGAGCUUACGGAAUAUUCAUUGACGAAUCAAUUGUAAAACAAAAUAAAAUUCCAAGUGUGUUAAAAGCA
Bombina bombina (fire-bellied toad) is the source of this 141-nucleotide long non-coding RNA. RefSeq lists it as uncharacterized. The record is from RefSeq and is a predicted model, not a curated record. NCBI's taxonomy places the organism in Eukaryota, Metazoa, Chordata, Amphibia, Anura, Bombinatoridae. The transcript is spliced from 2 exons.